This 253-nucleotide ribosomal RNA is filed under the name uncultured bacterium. Its description in RNAcentral is "partial 16S ribosomal RNA". It matches the Rfam family "Bacterial small subunit ribosomal RNA", at positions 524 to 776 of the family's 1533-position model. The record is from RNAcentral.
UACGGAGGGUGCGAGCGUUGUCCGGAAUCACUGGGCGUAAAGGGCGCGUAGGUGGCCCGUUAAGUGGUCGGUGAAAUCCUGGAGCUCAACUCCAGAACUGCCUUUGAUACUGAGAAGCUUGAGUCCGGGAGAGGUGAGUGGAACUGCGAGUGUAGAGGUGAAAUUCGUAGAUAUUCGCAAGAACACCAGUGGCGAAGGCGGCUCACUGGCCCGGUACUGACGCUGAGGUGCGAAAGCGUGGGGAGCAAACAGG